Molecule: ribosomal RNA, 459 nt
Filed under: uncultured bacterium
Lineage: Bacteria
Description: partial 16S ribosomal RNA
Rfam family: Bacterial small subunit ribosomal RNA
Source: RNAcentral
CCUACGGGUGGCUGCAGUGAGGAAUAUUGGUCAAUGGGCGGGAGACUGAACCAGCCAAGCCGCGUGAGGGAUGAAGGUACAGCGUAUCGUAAACCUCUUUUGUCAGGGAACAAAGGCGGGGACUUGUCCCCGGAUGAGUGUACCUGAAGAAAAAGCAUCGGCUAACUCCGUGCCAGCAGCCGCGGUAAUACGGAGGAUGCGAGCGUUAUCCGGAUUUAUUGGGUUUAAAGGGUGCGCAGGCGGUCUGUUAAGUCAGCGGUAAAAGCCCGGGGCUCAACCCCGGCGCGCCGUUGAAACUGGCAGUCUCGAGUUGGAGAGAAGUAUGCGGAAUGCGCGGUGUAGCGGUGAAAUGCAUAGAUAUCGCGCAGAACUCCGAUUGCGAAGGCAGCGUGCCGGCUCCACACUGACGCUGAGGCACGAAAGCGUGGGUAUCGAACAGGAUUAGAUACCCGAGUAGUC